AUAAUAAUAAUCCACUAGUGGGAAAGUGACAAGCGGGGGUUUCCUGGAGUCUCUCUCUCUUUUCCUCUCCCUCUGCUCGCAGUGCAGUGAGUGACUGGCUGCUCCUGGGAUGACGCACAGCUGCAGGCAAUCUCUAAUCAACCACCUGUUUCCCGUGGCUCAUCAGCGCAGCGUCUAAAGCUGUGGCUGCCCUAUCUGUUCGGCGUCGGAUAGUUAGUCUUGUCACAUAGGAAUACCACUCUGUUCUGUUGUCGCUAAACCUGCCUGUUGACGCCACCCUCCGCCUGCAAUCACCAGCCCUGCAUGACUCGUCAUCCCUGCCUGUGUUCACUACCUGCUCUGUCACCUGAGAGGAUUCCCCCCACCAGUCCAUUCUGCUAAAUUCUCUGAUUCAGAAAUAAACUAUUAAAAUGUU
Perca flavescens (yellow perch) is the source of this 415-nucleotide long non-coding RNA. RefSeq lists it as uncharacterized. The transcript has 2 exons. NCBI's taxonomy places the organism in Eukaryota, Metazoa, Chordata, Actinopteri, Perciformes, Percidae. The record is from RefSeq and is a predicted model, not a curated record.